RNAcentral lists this unclassified non-coding RNA (347 nucleotides) under soil metagenome. Its description in RNAcentral is "partial contains 5.8S ribosomal RNA, internal transcribed spacer 2, and large subunit ribosomal RNA". The stretch from base 1 to 120 matches the Rfam family "5.8S ribosomal RNA", at positions 35 to 154 of the family's 154-position model. The record is from RNAcentral.
GAUGAAGAACGCAGCGAAAUGCGAUAAGUAGUGUGAAUUGCAGAAUUCCGUGAAUCAUCGAAUCUUUGAACGCACAUUGCGCCUCCUGGUAUUCCGGGAGGCAUGCCUGUUCGAGCGUCACCAAAUCCAACUCAAGCGGUUUUGCGCUUGGUCGUGGCGGAAGAGUCGGUCUGGUUGCCGUCUCCCCUCCGAAAAUCAACGGCGGAAAGUCACUGGCAGUCAGCGUAGUAGUAUCGUUCGCCGAACAUCCAGUGGCAUUCCUGCCGACGUACCCCCACAAUUCUCGUGAUUGACCUCGGAUCAGGUAGGGAUACCCGCUGAACUUAAGCAUAUCAAUAAGCGGAGGA